This 828-nucleotide small RNA is filed under the name Pan troglodytes (chimpanzee). Its description in RNAcentral is "retained intron". The record is from RNAcentral. Lineage: Eukaryota; Metazoa; Chordata; Mammalia; Primates; Hominidae.
AGGGUCUGCCUGGCCCCUCAGGUCCCACUGGUGAAGUUGGCAAACCAGGAGAAAGGGGUCUCCACGGUGAGUUUGGUCUCCCUGGUCCUGCUGGUCCAAGAGGGGAACGCGGUCCCCCAGGUGAGAGUGGUGCUGCCGGUCCUACUGGUCCUAUUGGAAGCCGAGGUCCUUCUGGACCCCCAGGGCCUGAUGGAAACAAGGGUGAACCUGGUGUGGUUGGUGCUGUGGGCACUGCUGGUCCAUCUGGUCCUAGUGGACUCCCAGGAGAGAGGGGUGCUGCUGGCAUACCUGGAGGCAAGGGAGAAAAGGGUGAACCUGGUCUCAGAGGUGAAAUUGGUAACCCUGGCAGAGAUGGUGCUCGUGGUGCUCCUGGUGCUGUGGGUGCCCCUGGUCCUGCUGGAGCCACAGGUGACCGGGGCGAAGCUGGGGCUGCUGGUCCUGCUGGUCCUGCUGGUCCUCGGGGAAGCCCUGGUGAACGUGGUGAGGUCGGUCCUGCUGGCCCCAAUGGAUUUGCUGGUCCUGCUGGUGCUGCUGGUCAACCUGGUGCUAAAGGAGAAAGAGGAGCCAAAGGGCCUAAGGGUGAAAACGGUGUUGUUGGUCCCACAGGCCCCGUUGGAGCUGCUGGCCCAGCUGGUCCAAAUGGUCCCCCCGGUCCUGCUGGAAGUCGUGGUGAUGGAGGCCCCCCUGGUAUGACUGGUUUCCCUGGUGCUGCUGGACGGACUGGUCCCCCGGGACCCUCUGUAAGUAAAUCACUACAAACGUGUCUUCAUUUACUCUAGCCAAAAGGCCUGGCUUCUGAUAGGAAACUGGUAAGAAACUCUUCAUGAA